Molecule: long non-coding RNA, 353 nt
Filed under: Pan troglodytes (chimpanzee)
Lineage: Eukaryota; Metazoa; Chordata; Mammalia; Primates; Hominidae
Description: lncRNA (ENSPTRG00000053520.1)
Source: RNAcentral
GCCACACAGAAGGCGUGUCCUUGUCCAUUGGUUCUUGCGUGACAAUCAGAGGGACACCGAUCCUCCCUUUCAUCAAUGACCCAGAGCUGCGGGUGGAAUUCUACACUGGGAUGAAUGAGAACUCAGACAUCGCCUUCCAUUUCUGAGUGCACUUUGGCCAUUGUUUGGUCAUUGACAGCCAUGUGUGUGGGCCUGGAAGUGUGAGGGGAGAUGCCACAAUGUGUUCUUUAAGGACGGCAAACAAUUUGAUCUGAGCAUCUUGGUGCUGGACAAUGAAUACCAGAAUCUGCAGAAGAAACAGUGUCCCUCAAACUUUGAUUUACAUGGACACCAACAGAGGGUGUAUCUAGAGC